AGCAGCCGCGGUAAUUCCAGCUCCGAUAGCGUAUAUUAAAGUUGUUGUAGUUAAAAAGCUCGUAGUUGAAUUUCGGGAUUGACCCAUCGGUCGUGCCUUAAGGGGUAUGAACUGGUGUAGUCAAUUUCUCACCUUCUGGAGAACCGUGAUGUCCUUAAUUGGGUGCCACGAGGAACCAGGACCUUUACUUUGAAAAAAUUAGAGUGUUUAAAGCAGGCAUUUAUGCUUGAAUACAUUAGCAUGGAAUAAUAAAAUAGGACGGCAUGAUUCUAUUUUGUUGGUUUCUAGGAUCACCGUAAUGAUUAAUAGGGAUAGUUGGGGGCAUUAGUAUUCAAUUGUCAGAGGUGAAAUUCUUGGAUUUAUUGAAGACUAACUACUGCGAAAGCAUUUGCCAAGGAUGUUUUCAUUAAUCAAGAACGAAAGUUAGGGGAUCGAAGACGAUCAGAUACCGUCGUAGUCUUAACCAUAAACUAUGCCGACUAGGGAUCGGAUGAUGUUAAUUUUUAAUGACUCAUUCGGC
RNAcentral lists this ribosomal RNA (520 nucleotides) under uncultured Entrophospora. RNAcentral's name for it is "SSU rRNA". It matches the Rfam family "Eukaryotic small subunit ribosomal RNA", at positions 569 to 1084 of the family's 1831-position model. Lineage: Eukaryota; Fungi; Glomeromycota; Glomeromycetes; Entrophosporales; Entrophosporaceae. The record is from RNAcentral.